UACGUAGGGCGCAAGCGUUGUCCGGAAUUAUUGGGCGUAAAGAGCUCGUAGGCGGCUUGUCACGUCGGUUGUGAAAGCCCGGGGCUUAACCCCGGGUCUGCAGUCGAUACGGGCAGGCUAGAGUGUGGUAGGGGAGAUCGGAAUUCCUGGUGUAGCGGUGAAAUGCGCAGAUAUCAGGAGGAACACCGGUGGCGAAGGCGGGUCUCUGGGCCGAUACUGACGCUGAGGAGCGAAAGCGUGGGGAGCAAACAGG
RNAcentral lists this ribosomal RNA (253 nucleotides) under uncultured bacterium. Its description in RNAcentral is "partial 16S ribosomal RNA". It matches the Rfam family "Bacterial small subunit ribosomal RNA", at positions 524 to 776 of the family's 1533-position model. The record is from RNAcentral.